Long non-coding RNA from Odontomachus brunneus, 9513 nucleotides. RefSeq lists it as uncharacterized. The record is from RefSeq and is a predicted model, not a curated record. The transcript has 7 exons. NCBI's taxonomy places the organism in Eukaryota, Metazoa, Arthropoda, Insecta, Hymenoptera, Formicidae.
AGCGAAUAAGUUCCAACUUAAAGAUAGGUGGCGUAUCAAGCAAUUAUAUAAAUCGGCCAAAUGGCCAGCAUGACCGCUUUCAGGGUUCUUUCUGCAUGCAGUCAUAGUCGUAGUGUCUGUUAGUGCGUGAAAAUAAGUGUUAUCGCUCUAUGUAUAUUAUCUGAAUAUUAUUCGUAUAUUAUCCGCGCGUGAGUUUGACGCAUUGUGAUCGACCGUUUCACGUGAUUUAUCUAUACAAUCAAUACUGUUUUUUAUGUAGAGAUCGACAGUGAUCACUGCAGUUAAAGACAUUCGUCGGAUUCUGGCCUUCUAAAAUAUACGUGUCAAAAGCCUCAAAAUAGCGCGCGUUACAUUAAUCUGCACUUUUCUUUACUAUUCUACAUUCUAAAGGGACUAAAUGAGCCGUACCGUCCCAUAUCUCAGAAGACUGGCAAUUUUGGAAUAAAGCUCGGGUGUUUCUGGCCAAUUGUAUCAUAAGUGCUUUCAUAAAUAAAGAGUGUAAUUUUUCGACACCGUAUAUAUAUUCAAGGAGACAACGUGUCAUAUAUUCAAGGAACACGUGUUAUACACAUGCUAUACAGGAUGUCUCAGACUCCCCUCCACAUAUUUUGUGGGGACGGAUUGAGGUGAACAUGAAAAUCCUAUACCGUUUUGAGAUAUUCGCAAUAAUAUGGCUAAUUUUAAAAAUGUGAGAAAGACUCUUUUCUGUAUAUGACAAGUUUAAACGUUGCUGCGUGCAUAGAAAUGAAGGAAGAAUAAACUAUACCUAUAUUACAUUGAAUGAUUCUUUAAGUGCAAUAAGAGCUUUAAAUAAUGAUAAACAAAUAAGUUUGCACGAUAGAAGACUUGACAGUAAAGGCUGCAAAUGAUUAUAAACCUGAUUGUAUAAAAGAUCGCCUGAAAGAAAUCCAGACAUGUCAGGCAUGUCAGGCAUGAAAAAAUUCAGAAAUAUGAUUUCAGAGAUGCAUCUAUUUAUAUGCUGCACGAUGAUUGCUUGUUGUAUAUUUUUCAAUUUUUAUCAAUUUUUUACAAAUAGUGUGCAAACAUUGGAAUUAUAUGUUCGCAAAUGCUAUUUAUCUCGACUAGAGGAUAUGUUACUCAUUAAAGUAGCAAUGAAUUGUCUGCAGAUGUUUGAAUUAUCUUCAGAUUCUUUAGACAAUUUCUCUCUUCUUCAAAAUACACUUCUAGUAUAUUAUAUGGGUGCUCCUACGGGAACAAUGCCGGAGCAGAAGCUAUUGUAAUAUUACCAAAAUUAAAAUAUUUAUUUUUGGAUUGACAUUAUCGAUCGUAUCUUUGAAAACUUAAAAAAGCUAAAAGGAUUGGAAUGUAUAAAGGUACAACAAUAACUAACAAUAGGGUAUGCAAAGUUCUUCCCUUGCAAGAAAGUAAUACUGAUUGGUUAGUAGUAAAUUACUAACCAUAGGAGGAGGAGGGCAUAUUAGGUGGCGGCGGGACGCCGUGCUAGACGCUCGAGAUCUGCGUAUCUUUUCGUUCCAGAAAGAGAAAAAUAUCGAGAAUUCAGUAGUUUUAUUACUAGUGGCAAAUGAAUUUGAGUACUUAAACAAUUUGAGUACAGGGUUAUUAAUGCUACAGAGUAAUUCAGUGAUUACGGUAGUGAUUACGACAGUGAUAAUGUAUUAUUAGGUUCUUCUAAAAUACUAGUGUGAAUUAUUCUCUAAUAACGAGAUGGAUAAACAUCAACUUUUUCAUGAUUAGUAUAAAUUGUUUCAUAUCUUGUAGUAUAAAUUGUUUCAUAUCUUUUCAAACGAAUUUAUUGUUUGCCUUAGUUCGUUAUAAUGUUUGAUUGAAAAUCUAAGAGCAAUCAUAUAGUUUUAAUAGAAUUCGCUGAUAUACAUUAUAAUAUAUAUAUUAGUCACAUUUCGAUUGUCGUUGCAUUGUUUGUAUUGUCAAUAAAUAUGUCAUUAUUUAUUGUUUGAACGAUACAAGAGCAUAUUAUAAUUAUAAUUCAAUAAGGUAUUGUCACAUUUCAUGAGUUUUAGUUCGAUUAUUUAGGUUAACCAGUGAAUAACACGAUAUGAGAAAAAAUAGGGGUAAUCACUACAAGAUCAAAAUCACAUAGCGACGCAAAAUAUGAAAUGCUAAGUUUUUAUUAUUUAAACAAAAUAAUCAAUAAUCAAUAUUAGACUAUUCUAUUCUGAUAGGUUAAUAUGUGGAAAUUAAACAGAAAAUGUACCAUAUAUAAUAAUUUGCCAAAUAAUCACUGAAUCACUGACUAAUCACUACUAUUUCUUUAGUAAUUUCUUUAGUAAUACUUUUCUAUAAGAAUUGCAUCUUUACCUCAAUUACAACUAGUAAGUCUUUUCUGCUAUGAACAGUAUGACAUGAUUAUGUCAUACUUACGAGAUUGCUAAAUUAAUUUGCGAUAAUCGACAUACAAGGAACCCCACGUAGGUGGUUACCUCCGAUUUGAAUGAGCUUGAAAUAUAUUGUAAUCUAGGCCAAAAGAGGAGACACGUAUUUUUUUAUACAUGCCCAAGCGGACUUUUAGGAGACAAAAUAUCCCUUUGAAAAAAAUACGUGUCUCCUCUUUUGGUCUAGAUUACAACAUAUUUCAAACUCAUCCAAAUCGGAGAUAAUCAUCUACGUGGGGCUCCUUGUUAGUAAGAGGUGGUAUAAAAAGUAUUAUCAGUAAUAUUUUCCUAUAAGAGUUGUAUCUUCACCUCUCAAUUAUAACUACUAAAUCUUUUCUGCUAUGAAUAGUAUGACAUGAUUAUGUCAUACUUACGAAGUUGCUAAAUUAAUUUGCGAUAGUCAGCCUAGUAAGAGAUGCUAUUAAAAGUACAUGUUUAUAUUACACAAACAGAGUCGAUAGAAUUAAGUAAUACAUCUACUGUAUAAUUUUAUAUAUGUAUGUAUACCGAAUGUGCGCGUGCGCGGCGCAGAACAGAAACCUCUAUUAUAGCGAAUUCGGUUGCUUGCACUAGUACGCACUGAGUGUGCACUAAGGCUUCAUAGUAUAUUAUAUUUAUAGAUUGUCUUAAGUAAAUUCUUAAAUAUUUUUAACCAAUAAUAUGAUAUGUAAAACGUCCAUACGAAUCAUUUUAGCUAAAAUGUUUUUAAAUAUGUAUUUAAGACACGAUCUUAAAUAAGAAUGUACUGUAAACAUGCCUUAACGCGCACUCAGUGCGCACUAGUGCAAGUUACCGAAUUCGCUAUUAGACAUCUAUGAUGGAAAUCGAAAAUAUCCAUUAAACGUUCUUGUAACUUCCAGCAAAUGUUUAUUAGAAAUUUACAGUUCCAAGUUUCAUAUGUCUAUUGAAAGUUUUGACUUAACUGCCGUCACGAAAGAACGUAUUUAAGCUUAUUCAGACUUGAUCUGCGAUUUUUUAGAUAUACUUUGGAUUAUUUUCAAAGACUAUAAAAUUUAACUUAUUAACGGAUAGUAGCAAUAUACCAAACAAGCAAUAUUCACUACUUAAAUAAGACUAGUUAAUAAGACUAAUGGUUAAUGGGUAUUCAGAUAGUACAGAGAAUUCAAAAAGAAUUCGAAAAGAAUUCAGUCGUAUGACACAAAUUCUGAGUUUAUUUUCAGAAAAGAAUUCUUCAGAGUUCAGUUCAGUGAAAAGAAUUCUUUUUGCACCAAAAAGUGAAUUAGUGACAUAUGACAGAAUUCUUUUUGAAUUCUCUGUGCUCUCUCGGUAGUCUCGGGAUGUACGAAAAAGAGAAGGAGAAUGUGACUAUUAUCGUCUAAUAGAUAUGUUAUAUGGAUAUAUCCUAUAAAGAAACAUAGAAAUUUCCGAUUAAUGAAUAAUUUUGGUGUGUCAUUGCACAAUCUUAAAAUAUGUUUUAUUCUAGUCCAAAAUAAGGGAUAUAUUUUUUUUUUAUACAUGCUGUCUUUUAGUCCGUCUUUUAGACCUUAGAGUUUAGAAGUGAAACACUCUUUUGAAAAAAAAUCGGUAUUUUUCUUUCGAAAUAUAUUUUGUCAAAAGGAGAUAGAAAAAAAAUUUCUAAAUAAAAAUUAAAUAUUUUAUAGAGUACAUUGUAAUAAUGUUUUCAGUUUUAUUAAAACUUAUUAUUUUAAAUAUUAUUUUAAAUUAUUUUAUAUAUAACAAAAAUAUAUAUAUAAAAUAUAUAUAAAAUAAUAAAGUUAAAUAAUAUGUAAGAACAAAAUAUUUAGGAACAAAAAAUUAGUGAGUGAUAAAAUAUCAUACAAACACACACACACACACACACACACACACACACACACACACACACACAUAUAUAUAUAUAUAUAUAUUUUUUUUUAUCACUCACUAAUUUUUUUAUAAUCUAAAUAUUUUGUUCCUACCAACUGAAAGAAUAUUUUAUGCUGCAUCUAACUAUAUAUAAUAAUGUCAUUUUCACGGACUUUUGAGAAAUAAGUAGGAACACCUCCAUAUAUCCGUAACGCUAUCCGUAGUCGCCUAUUCCACUUAAUAUGUAUACGCAACGUGUCCUCUUUGUACUUCCUCAUUAGUAAGAAACAAUUAAUACUAAUAUGCAGAAUAUGUAACCAUAAAACAACACAUUUUUAAUGUAUAACAACACACAACAACAACAACAACAACAAUAAUACUAAUUUAUAUACAACAAUAAUACAACAAUAAUACUAAUUGUUUUAUAUACAAUAGUUGUAUAUUCCCAUACUUUGUCUUUAUGAAAAUACGGUUAUAUAUUAAUUAUACGGUUAUACGGUAUAUAUAUAUAUACGGUUUAUAUACGGUAUAUAUACGGUUUCUGGAAAUGAAAUUUUAUUUAUAAAAUUUUAUUGGUGCGUCUUAAUUUUGCAAUGUGUGACAUAACUAUUACGACGAAGCGAAAUACACGAAUUGCAAUAUCAUUCAUUUGUUUAUUAACGCGAAAUUUCCACUAAAUUCAUUAUAUAUGCUGAAAACAUUGCAUAUAUUAAUGAGAUCAUGCGUUACAUAAUGGUAUAUACUAUAAUGCGUCAUAUAAUGGUAUAUAAUAUUCAUUUGUUUAUUCAUUCAUUUGUUUAUUAACGCGAAAUUUCCACUAAUUUCAUUAUAUAUGCUGAAAACAUUGCAUAUAUUAAUGAGAUCAUGCGUUACAUAAUGGUAUAUACUAUAAUGCGUUAUAUAAUGGUAUAUAAUAUAAUAUUUAUUUUAAUUGUAAAUAUCCAACAUGUCUAUGCCAUAUCCGAUAUGGCGAUUCAUCGUCGUUUUUCCGUCUUAUUUUAUUUCCAUUUUGUUUAUCGUUAGUUCAGUUAUAGAUAUAAUAAAAGUUUAAUAAUAAGCUAUAUAAAGCUAUGUGAAGCUAUGUGAAAUUGCUGUGUAAGAUGCAGAAGUGUUCAAAGUGCAGGAAAAAAGUUGUUAGCCACGUUUGUGCAAUGCAAGUGAGUAAGUAUGAUGUACAUAUAUAUUAUAUAUAAUCAAUAGUAUAAUAGCUAACAUUUCACAGUGAGCGUCAAUAUGUUUCAUCGUUUUACAACGUAUUAUUCGUGACUGCAAGCUUGUAUGUGCAUAUCACUAUAUUUAAAAUUUCUUUUAAUAUUAAUAUUUUUCACAUAACUUUUUGUUUAUUUACUUUUUGUUUAAUCAUUAUUUUUAUUAUAGUAUUGUAAAGAAACGUUUCGUGGUUCAUUGCAUUAUCUUUAUAAGCCAUGUAAUACAGAUAUCAAAAAAUUUUGUCCCUAUAUCACAUAAUGUUAUUCUAUUGAAUAAAUGUUCUCUAUGAAACAUAUAUUUCACACAAAAUCAGAUCUUACAAAAAGUGGUACAAAAUUUUAUAAAUAUGUUGUAUCUAAUGAUAAGACGUUAUUAUAUUUUGAGUAUUAUGACUAAUUAUAUUUGAAACAUAAGAAUAUAUAUAAUGUUUAUAAUUUUAAAAUGCUAUUCAAUUCGAUCAACGUAGUAAUACUGCUAUAUACAGAAUUUCCCUUAUAGAAAUUUAAUACUGAUAAAUGAUAAUUUGGCCAGUGAUAAUUACUGUUGUUCAAUAAUUUUAUUACUCGUACGAAUAAUAAAAUUACUAUUUAUUAUUGGCUAAUUUAUCACAGCCAGUGAUACUUUUCUAUAAAAGUUAUAUCUUUAAAUUUAUCUGAAAUUUCUAUUACGUAAAAGAAAUGACAUAUGUAGACAAUCAAAUUGUAAUAAAGUAUAAAAAAUAUAGUCAGAAUAAGAAAUAUAGUGUUUUGGAAUUCGAUUAAGGGGAGUAAGAAAAGAUCGCUGGAGAACGGUAAACGUAGAUUCAAAGUGAUAUCUGUACGACGAUUGUGACGAUAACACAAGUAAUAGAACAAGUGCGCAGAAGCGGGUAGGAUUAAAUUGAAGAAACUAAAAUAAAUUUUAUUACAGAAAUUUUCAAACACCUCUGGACAAAGAAAUAUUAAUCCAUGACAUCAAUAUUGCUGGAUGGGCCUUUGAAGUGUAAGAAGAAAUAAAUGUUCCAGAAUGUACAACUUCAUGUGAAUGAGUAAGAAAUUCUUAUCACCUCUUUUUUCUGUUAUGUUAAAAGAAUCUAUAAUAAAAUUUGGUUCGAGAAUGCAAGAAAUAAUGUUUAAAGAAAAUUAUAUUUUUGUUAUAAUCGAUUAAAGAAAAUUAUAUUUUUGUUAUAAACGAAAUCCGGAAAAUUAACAUUAUAUUAUUUUCAGGUUUGGUGAAGAGAUCUAUUUUCCAAAUUUGGUCUUAAAUUUUAUUGUUGAAUUCAUGGACUGCUCACAGUUCGUAUGUAAUUCAAAGAAAUAGGCCAAAUUCUGCAGAAAAUAUCAUUUUUACUAUACUUGCAGGAACAACAGACUAAAAACAACUGUUAGAUGUUUACGAUUCUCGAUUAUGGAAAAAUUUUAUAAAACAUUUAUAUAUAUAUGUAAACAAUCAAAUUGCAAUCCUAUCAGAAACAGUGCGUGUUAAUUAAAUCUCGCAUGUAUCGAAGUUACAGCGAUAAACGUAGAUUCAAAGUGAUAUCUGUACGACGAUUGUGACGAUAGCACAAGUAAUAGAACAAGUGCGUAGAAGCGGGUGGGAUUAAAUUGAAGAAACUAAAAUAAAUUUUAUUACAGAAAUUUUCAAACACCUCUGGACAAAGAAAUAUUAAUCCAUGACAUCAAUAUUGCUGGAUGGGCCUUUGAAGUGUAAGAAGAAAUAAAUGUUCCAGAAUGUACAACUUCAUGUGAAUGAGUUUGGUGAAGAGAUCUAUAUUCCAAAUUUGGUCUUACAUUUUAUUGUUGAAUUCAUGGACUGCUCACAGUUCGUAUGUAAUUCAAAAAAAUAGGCCAGAUUCUGCAGAAAAUAUCAUUUUUACUAUACUUGCAGGAACAACAGACUAAAAACAGUUAGAUGUUUACGAUUUUCGAUUAUGGAAAAAUUUUAGAAAACAUUUUUAGAUUAGAAAAUGCUAUCAGAUUUAGGAAUAAAACUUUUAUUAUAUGUAUUCCAUAUAUUUUCAAUACUUACAAUAAAUAUUGGAAUGCAAAUAAAUAAAGUGGAAACUUAAUAAAUCAAGUGGAAAUUUAGCGUUAAUAAAUAUAACCGAAUUUUUGCAACUCGUGUAUCGCUUUUGUCGUGGUAAUUACGUCAUACACUAUAAAAAUAGAUGCACAAACUUCUCAUAAAUAAAUUUUUAUUUUCAGAAAUCGUAUAUAUACCUUUUUAUAAAGACAAAGUAUUGGAAUAUAUAACUAAUUUAUAACUCAUUGUUGUGUUGUGUGUAUGUGUUAUAUAUUGAAACGUUUUAUAAUUACAUAUUCUGCAUAUUGAUACUAUUUGUUUCUUAAUAUGAUUUCGAAGAAGACAUGUUGUAUAUAUGUAUCGAGUAAUAUAGGCGACUCCCUUAUAGAAAUAUCAUACUAAGAAUCAUUGAUAAUUAUUUAUUUUCAGUAUUAAAAAUACUGGAUAAUAAGUAAUUAUCAAUGAUUCUUAGUAUGAUAUUUCUAUAAGAGCUACGGAUAAUGUUACGGGUAUAUAGAGGUAUUCUUAUUUAUUUUUCGAAAAGUCCAUAUAUCAGGAAAUAACAUUAUUAUAUAUGGUUUGAUUCGACAUAAAAUAUUCUUUUAUUUGGUAGAAAUCAAAUCAAAAGGAAUGGUAAAUUUUUGGUAAAUAAAUUUUGGUAAAUUUUUAGAUUAUAAAAAAAUUGGUGAAUGUUGAGGAUAUGUUUAAAAUUAUAAGUUUUGAGAAAAAAUUGAGAACAUCAUUACAAACUCUUCCAACCAUUUAAUUUUUAUUUGUUUCUAUGUCUUAUAUUUUUGACGAAACAUACUUCGAAAGAAAAAUACCGAUUUUUAUCAAAAGGAUGUUUUACUUCCUAAAAGAUGAUUGAGCAAAAAAACGUAUCCCUUAUUUUGUUAUCUAAAUUACAAUAUAUUUUAAGCUCAUCAAAAUCGGAGGCAGACGUUUUCAUAUGUUUCAUUGUCAGUUAUAUGGAAAUAUAUUGAGAUGCAUGGGACAUUUCACAUAGCUAACGUAAAUAAACAGUUACUGGAUUAAUUUAUGUUGAUAUACAAGGUAAUAUGUAUCUCUUUUACAAGGAACGAAUCGGAACUGUCCCUCAUUGAUUUUGAUGCGCAUUGGAUAUUUUGUAGAACAUCAAAAACUAUUCGACACGUAUUUUUUUUAUAUGGUCUUAUCUCGACGUUUAGGAGUUGAAACCACUCCUCGAAAAAAACUUUUUCGUUUUUACUAAAUAUUUUUUAAAAUAUGAUGUAUAUGAAAAAGUAUUAAAUGUAAACGUUUAGUAUUUUAUACUCUUAUAGUUAUAGUAUUUUAUGCUCUUUACAUCGGUCUAUUCAAAUUUUUCAAAAUAUCAAAUUUUACCUCCUCCCCUUUCUCUCUGCUCACACUUGUUAUUUUCACAAAUUUUGAAAUUUUUGUAAAGACAAAAAUUAAGGAGCAUUGAAUACAAAAUUCAUCCAUAUAUAAUAAUGUUAUAGUUUCUUGAUUCUAUUUUUGGAAAAACGCGAUGAUAGAAUCGUGCUAUAUGCGCCACGCUGCGCGGUGCCUGUAUUGUUACAUUGUAUUCUCUUUAGUUGCAUUAUGCUUGAUUACUAUUUGCAUAUUUUCUCAUACUACAAGAUGAAAAUUAAUCCUAAUAAUUAAUCCUAAUGAAAAUUAAUCCUAAUAAUAUGUAAUGUAUUACACAAAAUAAAAACGUGAACACAAAUAAAUGUGGAUAUGUAACAACAAUAGUAAUAGUGUGUUGCAUUGCUAUUUGUUUUCUUAUUUGGCGUAUUCGGUAAUUUAUUUGACAGUUAGAAAUAAAUUGCUAAUCUCCUUGGUCUUUACCUUGACUUCUUUAAUCAAUAAAAAAUUUUUACAAAACAACUCGUCUAUAUAUAAUAUUUUGAAGCGCGCGCUAGCAAUACAUUUAUAUUAUUAAAAUUAACAAUGUAACACACAUACAAUAGAUUUCCACAUCACCCAAAGUGUACUUUACCAACGCGUUUUUUUUUUUAUUGAUUAUCAGAACAUUUGCAAAAGAGAGCGGCCAAGAUGUGCCUAUAUUCCCGGCAGUUCAAUAUGGGGUCGAUAUAUACAGGGUAUAGCAAAAGUACCGGAAUAGCAAGAAAACUCGGCGGGG